GAAAUGCGAUAAUUAAUGUGAAUUGCAGAAUUCAGUGAAUCAUCGAGUCUUUGAACGCACAUUGCGCCCCCUGGUAUUCCGGGGGGCAUGCCUGUCCGAGCGUCAUUGCUGCCCUCAAGCACGGCUUGUGUGUUCGGCUUCCGUCCCUGGCAACGGGGACGGGCCCAAAAGGCAGUGGCGGCACCAUGUCUGGUCCUCGAGCGUAUGGGGCUUUGUCACCCGCUCCCGUAGGUCCAGCUGGCAGCUAGCCUCGCAACCAAUCUUUUUAACCAGGUUGACCUCGGAUCAGGUAGGGAUACCCGCUGAACUUAAGC
RNAcentral lists this unclassified non-coding RNA (314 nucleotides) under plant metagenome. RNAcentral describes it as "partial contains 5.8S ribosomal RNA, internal transcribed spacer 2, and large subunit ribosomal RNA". The stretch from base 1 to 105 matches the Rfam family "5.8S ribosomal RNA", at positions 50 to 154 of the family's 154-position model. The record is from RNAcentral.